This is a long non-coding RNA of Cyprinus carpio carpio, 1827 nucleotides long. NCBI's taxonomy places the organism in Eukaryota, Metazoa, Chordata, Actinopteri, Cypriniformes, Cyprinidae. The record is from Ensembl.
CCCAUCUAUGUCAUUAUAUAUUGUUUUACAUGAUACCCCACAGUUUUCUUUUAUUAAAAUCGCAACUCCUCUUCCCAGCCUCCCAUCACCAUUGUUAUAAAAAAUCUCUCCACUCCACCUUUUCCUUAUUUCAGUCAUGUACUCUUCCCUCCAGUUAGUUUCUUGUAAUAAAAUCACAUCCUCUCCUUUACACAUUUCUUUCACUUUUUCAAAUUUUCCUAUGUCUGAAAGCCCUCUAGCAUUAAAAGUAACAAUUCUUAAAAGCAUAACACAUAUAAAAACAUGCAUAAAACCCAUAAACUCAGUCCAUCUCCUCCAAACCCUUUAGCAACUCAUACUUAUUCGUACACUCAAUACCAUCUUCUUUAAGCACUCUUUUUCUUGCAGUAUCUAAAUUGGGUAUUACCUUUACCGAUCUUCUUCUUUUCGAUGAUUUCCCCUGCGUCUCCUCAUUUUCUUUUCCUUUCUUUCACUUUCUUUUGUAGCAUAUUGUUUCUCAUUACUCUGAUCAUUAAGUUCCACAUCGUCCAUCACCUUUUGCAAACUGUCCGCCACAUCCAUCUGUGUCCAUAAAUUCCCUCCUGUUGUGCAUACUCAUCUUUAUUCCUUUUAUCUCCAGUUCCACAUAUCCAAAGAUUUUGCAAGCUGUCAGUCAAAUCCAUCUGUGUCCAAAUUCCCCCAUCCUGUUGUGUUUGUAUGUCCUGUUCGUUACACUCUUUCUGUUGUUCUGUAUUGUUAUUUGAUUGUCCUUCAUCUUGCACACUUGUUUCAUCCUCUCUCUGUUCGUUGUCUCGUUCAUGCACCUGCCUGCCCACCUGCUGCUCUUCCUCCUCCUCCUCCUCGCCCUCCAUCCAACACUCACACUUUAUUUAAAAACCAAAUUGCAAUCCGGGCACAUCACAGCGUUGCAGUUCCUGCAGAAAUGGCCCCCUUUCCUCGCAUUUAUGGCACUUAAACUCCGGGCAGUCCUUCACCACAUGGUCUGGGCUCAUGCACAGCCGACAAGUCUUCACUUGAUGGCUGUGCAUCACCCGAAAGUAUUGUGGACCCUCUGCCGUUUCCAUUUUUGUGCUAUACGGUAGGGAGGCCACCUCCUUCGGAAACCGCGCCUUUACGUAUCUUGUCCCAUCCUCUAUGCUGGUGCCCGGAUAAACACGCCGCUUUAUUUUUGAAAUUGGGGAAACCCCCCAAACCUCCAGUUUAUUUAAAAUCUCUUCAUCAGCAAGAUAGACGGGCAGAUGCAUGAAAGAGACAACAUAAUCUCUGUUUUGCAGUUUCUUUAUCUCACAGUUCACUCCUUUAAUUAACAAUCCCUCAGUCAGUUCAUCACAUGUUUCUUCUUUUUCCAUUGUCAGUUCAUAUUCCUUUCCUUGUCUUGGCCUGAGUGCUAAGAUUUUACCAUAUCCACAUUUGUCCGUCACCGCUUUAAUAAUAUCCACAGCUCUCACCUCACUUACAUUCUCCACAUUCACAAUCACAGUUGCCUCCUUUAAAUAUUUCCUUUCACCAAAAGUAUGUCUUGCAUCUUGAUUUUUACCGUGUACUGCUCGUUGUCGAUACUCCAGUCCAGUGUCGUUUGCCAUGCGUCUCUCUCCAGCCAGUCCAGUGUCGUUUGCCGUGCGUGUUCCUCCAGCCAGUCCAGUGUCGUUUGCCGUGCGUGUUCCUCCUGCCAGUCCAGUGUCGUUUGCCGUGCGUGUCUCUCCAGCCAGUCCAGUGUCGUUCGCCAAUAAUCCAUCCAUUGUUUAGAAAAAACAAAAAACAAAAAAAAACAAACACAAACAAAAAUUAACCACCCUCCAGCCAGCACUAGAGCUGCUGUUAGGUGGU